GAUGAAGAACGUAGCGAAAUGCGAUAAGUAGUGUGAAUUGCAGAAUUCCGUGAAUCAUCGAAUCUUUGAACGCACAUUGCGCCUCCUGGUAGUCCGGGAGGCAUGCCUGUUCGAGCGUCACCAAAUCCAACUCAAGCGGUUUUGCGCUUGGUCGUGGCGGAAGAGUCGGUCUGGUUGCCGUCUCCCCUCCGAAAAUCAACGGCGGAAAGUCACUGGCAGUCAGCGUAGUAGUAUCGUUCGCUGAACAUCCAGUGGCAUUCCUGCCGACGUACCCCCACAAUUCUCGUGAUUGACCUCGGAUCAGGUAGGGAUACCCGCUGAACUUAAGCAUAUCAAUAAGCGGAGGA
This 347-nucleotide unclassified non-coding RNA is filed under the name soil metagenome. RNAcentral's name for it is "partial contains 5.8S ribosomal RNA, internal transcribed spacer 2, and large subunit ribosomal RNA". The stretch from base 1 to 120 matches the Rfam family "5.8S ribosomal RNA", at positions 35 to 154 of the family's 154-position model. The record is from RNAcentral.